CAUAGCCUAGUGGACAUGGCAUCUGCCCGGUAAGCAGAACACUGUGGGUUCGAUUACCAUUCCUGGA
This 67-nucleotide transfer RNA is filed under the name Cordylochernes scorpioides. Its description in RNAcentral is "tRNA-Thr". The stretch from base 2 to 61 matches the Rfam family "tRNA", at positions 7 to 64 of the family's 71-position model. From Rfam's summary of the family: Transfer RNA (tRNA) molecules are approximately 80 nucleotides in length. Lineage: Eukaryota; Metazoa; Arthropoda; Arachnida; Pseudoscorpiones; Chernetidae. The record is from RNAcentral.